This 395-nucleotide ribosomal RNA is filed under the name uncultured bacterium. RNAcentral describes it as "bacterial SSU rRNA". It matches the Rfam family "Bacterial small subunit ribosomal RNA", at positions 521 to 916 of the family's 1533-position model. The record is from RNAcentral.
UAAUACGAAGGGAGCUAGCGUUGUUCGGAAUUACUGGGCGUAAAGGGCGCGUAGGCGGCUCGAUAAGUCAGAUGUGAAAGCCCCGGGCUUAACCUGGGAACUGCAUUUGAUACUGUCAGGCUAGAGAUCGAGAGAGGAAAGUGGAAUUACGAGUGUAGAAGUGAAAUUCGUAGAUAUUCGUAGGAACACCUGUGGCGAAGGCGACUUUCUGGCUCGAUACUGACGCUAAAGCGCGAAAGCGUGGGGAGCAAACAGGAUUAGAUACCCUGGUAGUCCACGCUGUAAACGAUGAGUGCUAGAUGUUAGGAGGGCAACCUCUUAGUGUCGCAGCUAACGCAUUAAGCACUCCGCCUGGGGAGUACGGUCGCAAGAUUAAAACUCAAAUGAAUUGACGG